Molecule: microRNA precursor, 173 nt
Filed under: Triticum aestivum (bread wheat)
Lineage: Eukaryota; Viridiplantae; Streptophyta; Magnoliopsida; Poales; Poaceae
Also listed under: 1 other name
Description: MIR2118 microRNA precursor family
Rfam family: MIR2118 microRNA precursor family
Source: Rfam by way of RNAcentral
GCUGGGAAGGGGAAGAAAGAGAGCUCAAGAGCACUAGGAAUGGGAACAUGGAGGAAAGCCCUGCUUGUUUGUUUGCACCUCUAGUCUUAGGGAUGCAAAUAUUUGGCAUAGAUCUUUUCCUGAUGCCUCCCAUUCCCGUCGUUCCUGUGCACUCCUUCCUCUUCCCUUAGGAU